UGGGUGGAUCAGUGGCGAACGGGUGAGUAACACGUGAGCAACCUGCCCCUGACUCUGGGAUAAGCGCUGGAAACGGCGUCUAAUACUGGAUAUGUGACGUGACCGCAUGGUCUGCGUCUGGAAAGAAUUUCGGUUGGGGAUGGGCUCGCGGCCUAUCAGCUUGUUGGUGAGGUAAUGGCUCACCAAGGCGUCGACGGGUAGCCGGCCUGAGAGGGUGACCGGCCACACUGGGACUGAGACACGGCCCAGACUCCUACGGGAGGCAGCAGUGGGGAAUAUUGCACAAUGGGCGCAAGCCUGAUGCAGCAACGCCGCGUGAGGGAUGACGGCCUUCGGGUUGUAAACCUCUUUUAGCAGGGAAGAAGCGAAAGUGACGGUACCUGCAGAAAAAGCGCCGGCUAACUACGUGCCAGCAGCCGCGGUAAUACGUAGGGCGCAAGCGUUAUCCGGAAUUAUUGGGCGUAAAGAGCUCGUAGGCGGUUUGUCGCGUCUGCUGUGAAAUCCCGAGGCUCAACCUCGGGCCUGCAGUGGGUACGGGCAGACUAGAGUGCGGUAGGGGAGAUUGGAAUUCCUGGUGUAGCGGUGGAAUGCGCAGAUAUCAGGAGGAACACCGAUGGCGAAGGCAGAUCUCUGGGCCGUAACUGACGCUGAGGAGCGAAAGGGUGGGGAGCAAACAGGCUUAGAUACCCUGGUAGUCCACCCCGUAAACGUUGGGAACUAGUUGUGGGGUCCA
This 733-nucleotide ribosomal RNA is filed under the name Actinomycetes bacterium. RNAcentral describes it as "bacterial SSU rRNA". It matches the Rfam family "Bacterial small subunit ribosomal RNA", at positions 84 to 831 of the family's 1533-position model. The record is from RNAcentral. Lineage: Bacteria; Bacillati; Actinomycetota; Actinomycetes.